RNAcentral lists this ribosomal RNA (467 nucleotides) under uncultured bacterium. RNAcentral describes it as "partial 16S ribosomal RNA". It matches the Rfam family "Bacterial small subunit ribosomal RNA", at positions 28 to 507 of the family's 1533-position model. The record is from RNAcentral.
GAUGAACGCUGGCGGCGCGCCUAACACAUGCAAGUCGAACGAUUAAAGCACCUUCGGGUGUGUAUAAAGUGGCGAACGGCUGAGUAACACGUGGGCAACCUGCCCCUUUCAUUGGGAUAGCCACGGGAAACCGUGGAUAAUACCGAAUACUUCGAGACUUCCGCAUGGAAGACUCGAGAAAGCUCCGGCGGAGAGGGAUGGGCCCGCGGCCUGUUAGCUUGUUGGUGGGGUAACGGCCUACCAAGGCAAUGAUGGGUAGCUGGGUUGAGAGACCGACCAGCCAGAUUGGGACUGAGACACGGCCCAGACUCCUACGGGCGGCAGCAGUGGGGAAUCUUGCACAAUGGGCGAAAGCCUGAUGCAGCGACGCCGCGUGCGGGAUGAAGGCCUUCGGGUUGUAAACCGCUUUCAGCAGGGACGAGGCGAAAGUGACGGUACCUGCAGAAGAAGCCCCGGCUAACUACGUG